GUACCGGGAGAAUAAGCCCCGGCUAACUCCGUGCCAGCAGCCGCGGUAAUACGGAGGGGGCUAGCGUUGUUCGGAAUUACUGGGCGUAAAGCGCGCGUAGGCGGACCUGCAAGUCGGGGGUGAAAGCCCGAGGCUUAACCUCGGAAUUGCCUUCGAUACUGCGGGUCUCGAGUCCGGGAGAGGUGAGUGGAAUUCCUAGUGUAGAGGUGAAAUUCGUAGAUAUUAGGAAGAACACCAGUGGCGAAGGCGGCUCACUGGCCCGGUACUGACGCUGAGGCGCGAAAGCGUGGGGAGCAAACAGGAUUAGAUACCCUGGUAGUCC
This 322-nucleotide ribosomal RNA is filed under the name Klebsiella pneumoniae. RNAcentral describes it as "bacterial SSU rRNA". It matches the Rfam family "Bacterial small subunit ribosomal RNA", at positions 475 to 796 of the family's 1533-position model. Lineage: Bacteria; Pseudomonadati; Pseudomonadota; Gammaproteobacteria; Enterobacterales; Enterobacteriaceae. The record is from RNAcentral.